AGAUAUUCCCCAUGGGUAUUAUAUUUUCGAUGUGUUGUGAAUAAAAAUAUUCGAUUUGCAACUGAUUAUAUAUACGGCAUCAUCAUUAUCAUCAUCAAUUCAGGAACAAAAGGUAAAGCACCCUAAUAUAUAUAUAUAUAAUAUAACUGACCAGCUUCUAACAAACCCUCUAUACAACCCAAUCCAGCAAAACAGAGGCCAACCGAAGUAGGACAACUAAAUAAUAACAACAAAUAUUGUUCUAUCAACUGACUAUAUGCCAAGGUAGUCCUUGAUCCUAUUAAACCAUGAACGACCGGCGCCAAACGGGUAUACAUACACUCCGCAAUCCCCAUCAACGCAAUUGAGAUCACACCGCCCGUAGACCUGGCAAUAGCAUUGCCUUGGAUCGGGACAGUGUAUUGCCGGUUUCCCAAACAAAGCUGAGUUCGUAUUAGUAAGAGAAUAAUAAGAGAAUAGUAAGAGAAUAACAUAUCAAGCA
Molecule: small RNA, 481 nt
Filed under: Histoplasma ohiense
Lineage: Eukaryota; Fungi; Ascomycota; Eurotiomycetes; Onygenales; Ajellomycetaceae
Description: hypothetical lncRNA
Source: RNAcentral